This 1160-nucleotide ribosomal RNA is filed under the name Clostridium botulinum D str. 16868. RNAcentral's name for it is "bacterial LSU rRNA". It matches the Rfam family "Bacterial large subunit ribosomal RNA", at positions 195 to 1359 of the family's 2925-position model. Lineage: Bacteria; Bacillati; Bacillota; Clostridia; Eubacteriales; Clostridiaceae. The record is from RNAcentral.
GAAACAUCUAAGUACCCAGAGGAAGAGAAAGAAAAUUCGAUUCCCUAAGUAGCGGCGAGCGAAAGGGGAAGAGCCCAAACCAGGAACUUGUUCCUGGGGUUGCGGAUAGAUCAUAACGCUUUGAUUUCUUUAGUUGAAGAGAACUGGAAAGUUCCGUCGUAGAAGGUAAUAACCCUGUAGGCGAAAAGGAAAGAAAAGUAGAUCUACUCCAGAGUACCACGAGACACGUGAAACCUUGUGGGAAGCUGGGAGGACCAUCUCCCAAGGCUAAAUACUACCUAGUGACCGAUAGUGAAGCAGUACCGUGAGGGAAAGGUGAAAAGAACCCCGGAAGGGGAGUGAAAUAGAAUCUGAAACCGUGUGCCUACAAUCGGUCGGAGCACAUUAAAGUGUGACGGCGUACUUUUUGUAGAACGGGCCAGCGAGUUACGAUAUAUAGCGAGGUUAAGCACUUAUGGUGUGGAGCCGAAGGGAAACCGAGUCUGAAUAGGGCAACUAGUUGUAUAUUGUAGACCCGAAACCGGGUGACCUAUCCAUGGCCAGGAUGAAGCGGAAGUAAAAUUCCGUGGAGGUCCGAACCACGUUGGUGUUGAAAAACCAUGGGAUGAGCUGUGGAUAGCGGAGAAAUUCCAAUCGAACUCGGAGAUAGCUGGUUCUCCUCGAAAUAGCUUUAGGGCUAGCGUCGGGUAAUUGAGUAGUGGAGGUAGAGCACUGAAUGGGCUAGGGGCUGACAACAGUUACUGAACCCUAUCAAACUCCGAAUGCCAUAUACUUGUACCCCGGCAGUCAGACUACGAAUGAUAAGAUCCGUGGUCAAAAGGGAAACAGCCCAGACCAUCAGCUAAGGUCCCAAAGUGUAAGUUAAGUGGGAAAGGAUGUGGGAUUUCUAAGACAACUAGGAUGUUGGCUUAGAAGCAGCCACUCAUUUAAAGAGUGCGUAAUAGCUCACUAGUCGAGAGAUCCUGCGCCGAAGAUGUAACGGGGCUCAAACUUACCACCGAAGCUAUGGAUGUGUACUAUGUACACGUGGUAGAGGAGCUUUCUGUACAGGUUGAAGUCAUACCGUAAGGAGUGGUGGACAGUACAGAAGUGAGAAUGCUGGCAUAAGUAGCGAAAAACAAGUGAGAAUCUUGUUGACCGAAUAUCUAAGGUUUCCUGGG